GCCACCCCCAUACGGUGAAAGGAGCCCCGCAAAGAAGUCCCGCAUGGCUAACCAUAUGCUUCCUGCAUUCAACGAAGACACAGAUAAGUGGAAACCGUAUCUCAUUAAGGCAGAUGCCUACUUUGAAGCUAAUGGAAUCGUCAAUAUCCGCCCAGAAAGAGAGUACUGCUCGGGGCACCAUUGAGAACGCAAACCCAGCCAGUAUUAUCUGUGAAGGUCGCGCCGCGAGCACAAAACACUUUGAGCUUCGAGCAAGUUGUCGAGGUGCUAAACAAGUACUAUUAUCCGAAACGACGUGAAUUAAAGAAGAACUUCAAGUUUUUUUUUUAAAUCCUGCCAGAUGGAAGAGGAAUAACUGCCAUUUUGGCAAGUCCUAGAUCGCGUGCUUGUCCUAGAUUGUGUGCAUUGUUUAGACAAUGGCUCUACAGAAGCAACUACUGGCAACGGCGGACAUCAAGGUAUAGCUGAGGCCGCAUCGCUCGCAAUUACAGCUGAAAGUGUCAAGAAUAACGAUAUGAAAAUGCUCUCCAAGCCAAGGGCUUUAUUAAAAUUUCAGACGCCUUGAAAAACCUCGCCCCUGGGAAACAGAAAGGCCGAAGAACAUCUUGAAUGCGGAAGGUAGGGCAGCUCAACACAUGAUGAUGUUGCUUGCGAAUGGGCAAAUGCGCGUUGCUAUCGCGGUGGACGGCGAAGGCACGGUGCUGAGAAAUGUCAAAGCAGCCCUAACCGUGGGAAGUUAAUCGCCAGAGCUAUGCACGCGAAUAUACUGGCAAUAACUGAAACCUACCCAAUGGACGAUAGCAGUGACGAAGUCAAUCGUUGAAAAUUGGUGUCGAAACGGAAACCAAUCUGCCACUCAUAUUUAUGGGGCGGGGUUCAAGUAGCCAUGGAAGUCGACACCGGGUCGCCAGUGUCUGAUUUCUCGGGAACUGUACAUGAAUCAUGGGAACGAUUGGCCUGCCCUGACGCCGUCACGCCUGUAGUUGUCUUGCUACGCAGGGCGGUUACCGGUGUUGGGCGACCUGACACUACCUGUGGGCUUCAAGGACGUGCUCAUGGACUUCCCUCACAGGGUUCGACUGCUAAGGGCCAAGCUUAUGCGGAAGGGACCUGCUGACGCUGCUGGGAAACUCUGGCGCCUCGGUGCUAAUAGAAAGAUGGCUAGGGUUGCUGAGACCUGACCGCCAGACACCGACCAUGGCGGCUGCGCGAAUGCAACGCUGGACACUGUGCCUCAGAGUCUACACAUACAAGCUUCAAUCCUGGGAAACAAAUGCCCAGCUCAGGUGCUCUAAGCCGACUGCCACAGCAAGCCACCGGAGACAGAAAUGAAGGUCCAUCUGAGGAGAGCAAUGACUGGAGACUGCCUGCAGGCAGCAGCGUGUCCAUCAAUUACGGACAUGGGAGAAGUCAAUCUCUGGUCGGGUCAAUUCGGCAAAAAGAGCACAGACAGCAACCGCAGAGACGCCCACUGCCAACGUCAAGAGGCACGUCGACCAGGUGCGCCAUCGCUCGAAUUCAUUACCAAGGAACCCGUUCACUGACGUGACUAUUGUGGUCCAGACUUCAACCAGACGCCAGGUACAAGCACGGCCACCAAUGCAACCAGUCCCUUGGAAGCGGCCGUCACAUAUAAUUAUCUAGCUAGUGCCCAAAUUGCAGAAAGCAACAUUCAGUGUCGCAACCCUCUACACCCAACUGCCUCGAGUCCGGCUGAAGCUGCGCAGCAAGUCUUGCGUCAGUCAACAAGGCAGUGCAAGAUAGUGCAGUUGUGGUUUUGAGAAGGCAGUUCUGUGUCGGCGCCAUACCAGAGUUCUACGCAUGUGCAAUACGCUUCGUUACGUUUCCCUCACUUCCACUUCCCGUCCCACUUCGGGGAAAAAUGCAAU
Long non-coding RNA from Dermacentor andersoni, 1889 nucleotides. RefSeq lists it as uncharacterized. The record is from RefSeq and is a predicted model, not a curated record. NCBI's taxonomy places the organism in Eukaryota, Metazoa, Arthropoda, Arachnida, Ixodida, Ixodidae.